RNAcentral lists this ribosomal RNA (500 nucleotides) under uncultured bacterium. Its description in RNAcentral is "partial 16S ribosomal RNA". It matches the Rfam family "Bacterial small subunit ribosomal RNA", at positions 30 to 523 of the family's 1533-position model. The record is from RNAcentral.
AUUGAACGCUGGCGGCAUGCCUUACACAUGCAAGUCGAACGGCAGCACGGGAGCAAUCCUGGUGGCGAGUGGCGAACGGGUGAGUAAUAUAUCGGAACGUGCCCAGUCGUGGGGGAUAACGCAGCGAAAGCUGUGCUAAUACCGCAUACGAUCUACGGAUGAAAGCGGGGGAUCGCAAGACCUCGCGCGAUUGGAGCGGCCGAUAUCAGAUUAGCUAGUUGGUGGGGUAAAAGCCCACCAAGGCGACGAUCUGUAGUUGGUCUGAGAGGACGACAAGCCACACUGGAACUGAGACGCGGUCCAGACUCCUACGGGAGGCAGCAGUGGGGAAUUUUGGACAAUGGGCGCAAGCCUGAUCCAGCAAUGCCGCGUGCAGGAUGAAGGCCUUCGGGUUGUAAACUGCUUUUGUACGGAACGAAACGGCUCUUUCUAAUAAAGAGGGCUAAUGACGGUACCGUAAGAAUAAGCACCGGCUAACUACGUGCCAGCAGCCGCCGUAA